This 486-nucleotide ribosomal RNA is filed under the name uncultured bacterium. RNAcentral describes it as "partial 16S ribosomal RNA". It matches the Rfam family "Bacterial small subunit ribosomal RNA", at positions 29 to 507 of the family's 1533-position model. The record is from RNAcentral.
AUUGAACGCUGGCGGCAUGCUUUACACAUGCAAGUCGAGCGGCAGCGCGGGGGCAACCCUGGCGGCGAGCGGCGAACGGGUGAGUAAUGCAUCGGAACGUAUCCUCGAGUGGGGGAUAACCCAGCGAAAGUUGGGCUAAUACCGCAUGAGCUCUGAGGAGGAAAGCGGGGGACCUGCGAGGGCCUCGCGCUGGAGGAGCGGCCGAUGUCCGAUUAGCUAGUUGGUGGGGUAAAGGCUUACCAAGGCGACGAUCGGUAGCUGGUCUGAGAGGAUGAUCAGCCACACUGGGACUGAGACACGGCCCAGACUCCUACGGGAGGCAGCAGUGGGGAAUUUUGGACAAUGGGGGCAACCCUGAUCCAGCCAUGCCGCGUGAGUGAAGAAGGCCUUCGGGUUGUAAAGCUCUUUCGGACGGAACGAAAUGGGCGGGACUAAUACUCCUGUCUGAUGACGGUACCGUAAGAAGAAGCACCCGCUAACUACGUG